GAAGAUAUUCCAGAUGGUGUCACUCACGUGAUUGUGCAAGAAGGCACAAUUCGAAUUGAGGAU
Molecule: non-coding RNA, 63 nt
Filed under: uncultured Dinobryon
Lineage: Eukaryota; Chrysophyceae; Chromulinales
Source: RNAcentral